Molecule: ribosomal RNA, 447 nt
Filed under: uncultured bacterium
Lineage: Bacteria
Description: bacterial SSU rRNA
Rfam family: Bacterial small subunit ribosomal RNA
Source: RNAcentral
UCGGGAAUUUUGGGCAAUGGGCGCAAGCCUGACCCAGCAACGCCGCGUGAAGGAUGAAGUAUUUCGGUAUGUAAACUUCGAAAGAAUAGGAAGAAUAAAUGACGGUACUAUUUAUAAGGUCCGGCUAACUACGUGCCAGCAGCCGCGGUAAUACGUAGGGACCAAGCGUUGUUCGGAUUUACUGGGCGUAAAGGGCGCGUAGGCGGCAUGACAAGUCACUUGUGAAAUCUCUGGGCUUAACCCAGAACGGCCAAGUGAUACUGUCGCGCUAGAGUGCAGAAGGGGCAAUCGGAAUUCUUGGUGUGGCGGUGAAAUGCGUAGAUAUCAAGAGGAACACCUGAGGCGAAGGCGAGUUGCUAGGCUGACACUGACGCUGAGGUACGAAAGCUAGGGGAGCGAACGGGAUUAGAUACCCCCGUAGUCCCUGAGCGGGCUGGCAAGGCGCAU